CCAGGUUUUUGUCAUCAGUAAUGAUCAAAUGGGGGUUCUUGGAACCCUCUAAAAUAUGUUGCCACUCCUUGACAGCUAGAAUAAUGGCCAACAAUUCCCUAUUGCCAAUAUCAUAAUUGCGCUCGGCAGGAGACAACUUUCUAGAGAAGUAACCACAAGGAUGCAAUGGAGUAUCCUGGCUCUCCCUCUGGGAGAGAACUGCCCCUACGCCUGUAUCUGAUGCAUCAACUUCCAGUAUGAAAGGUUUAGUGGUGUCAGGAUGUAUCAAUAUGUUGGCGGAGGCAAACCGCUGUUUUCGAGUUUCAAAGGCUUCUAUAUCUUCCUUAGACCAUAUUGUACUGCUAACCCCUUUGCAUGUCAUAUUGGUGAUGGGGGCUAUUACUGAAGAAAAUCCCUUUAUAAACCUUCUGUAAAAAUUGGCGAAACCAAUGAACCUUUGAAUGGCUUUCAACCCAGUGGGUAAAGGCCAUUGUAGAACCGAUUCCAGCUCUUUAGGAUCCAUC
This is a non-coding RNA of Pelobates cultripes (western spadefoot toad), 503 nucleotides long. Lineage: Eukaryota; Metazoa; Chordata; Amphibia; Anura; Pelobatidae. The record is from the annotation of a GenBank genome assembly.